This 1089-nucleotide long non-coding RNA is filed under the name Salmo salar (Atlantic salmon). Its description in RNAcentral is "lncRNA (ENSSSAG00000109730.1)". The record is from RNAcentral. Lineage: Eukaryota; Metazoa; Chordata; Actinopteri; Salmoniformes; Salmonidae.
UGUGACUUCAGGCUACUAUGUCUCUCAAAGCCCAGUCACAUAGCCUAACCUAAGUUUGCAACAUUAUACAAUUCACUGCACAACUCAGUUUAUGUAUUAUUGAGUUUCAAUCGUAUUAGUGGUGUGUGUGUGUGUGUGUGCGGAUGUGUGUGUGUGACAUGCAUGGUAGAGUGUGGGGUUAUGGAGGAAAGUGUUGAUAAACAUGCUGAGUAGGAGCAGGGUGGUGGUGUGUGGGAUAGACAUGGAUUAUGUGACAGGGAAUGAGUGUGUUUUGGGGUGUAGACAGUAUGAGACUGUUUGAAUGGUAUACAGGAAAAGGGUGUUUGUGCGCGUGUGCGUGUGCGUGUGUGUGUGCAUGUGCGUGUGUGUGUGUGUGUGUGUGUGUGUGUGUGGACCAGAAGUCCCCACAAGAAUAGUAAACAAACAAAAAUUGGACCAACUGUGAACAGUUGACCUAUGAGGUCAAAUGCUAUUUCUAGGGGUUUAGGCUUAAGGUUAGAAUUUGUGUUAGAAUUAUGCUAAGGGUUAGGGUUAGGAGCUAGGGUUAGUUUUAGGGUUAGGAGCUAGGGUUAGUUUUAGGAUUAGGAGCUGGGGUUAGUUUUAGGAUUAGGAGCUGGGGUUCGUUUUAGGAUUAGAAGCUGGGGUUAGUUUUAGGAUGAGGAGCUGGGGUUAGUUUUAGGAUUAGGAGCUGGGGUUAGUUUUAGGAUUAGGAGCUGGGGUUAGUUUUAGGAUUAGGAGCUGGGGUUAGUUUUAGGAUUAGAAGCUGGGGUUAGUUUUAGGAUUAGGAGCUGGGGUUAGUUUUAGGAUUAGGAGCUAUGGUUAGUUUUAGGAUUAGGAGCUGGGGUUAGUUUUAGGGUUAGGAGCUAGGGUUAGUUUUAGGAUUAGGAGCUAGGGUUAGGGUAAGGGGUUAGGGAAAAUAGGAUUUUGAAUGGGACUGAAUUAUGUGUCCCCACAAGGUUAGUUAUACAAGACUGUGUGUGUGUGUGACAUUUCCUCAGGCCCUUACCUCACAGGGGUGGGCAACUCCAGUCCUUGAGGGCCUGAUUGGUGUCACACCUUUUUUCCAUCCCUAGCAAACACAGGUGAUUA